GUUUUUCCCUUAACACACUUAACUUUCCUACCUGUUCCAAUUCUCCUAACUGGUACAACAUCAUCAGAGUCCUCCGAUUCCAGUACAUCUAACCACCAGCUGAACUUCUUCACUGUAAUUGGAGGUAACAUAGCUUUCACAUGAUCUUCCUUCGUUGAUUCAUCGAACGGCCAGCAUUUCACCACGUCCACACUCCUCACCUUCGC
This 206-nucleotide unclassified non-coding RNA is filed under the name Hevea brasiliensis (rubber tree). Lineage: Eukaryota; Viridiplantae; Streptophyta; Magnoliopsida; Malpighiales; Euphorbiaceae. The record is from RNAcentral.